RNAcentral lists this transfer RNA (77 nucleotides) under Actinomycetota bacterium. RNAcentral describes it as "tRNA-Arg". It matches the Rfam family "tRNA". Rfam says of the family: Transfer RNA (tRNA) molecules are approximately 80 nucleotides in length. Their secondary structure includes four short double-helical elements and three loops (D, anti-codon, and T loops). The record is from RNAcentral. Lineage: Bacteria; Bacillati; Actinomycetota.
GCGCCUGUAGCUCAGUUGGAUAGAGUGACGGACUACGAAUCCGUAGGUCGCAGGUUCGAAUCCUGUCAGGCGCACCA